UCCCACCCGCUCGCUCCCCCACCUAGAAAGUUAAGUCAGGGCUUCACAGCCCUGGUGAGGGUAAAGCCAGCUCUCUGCUCCCCAGCUGGAGCGUGGGCCAGCAAGGGACCACCAUGGCUCCUUGGUUUGGCUGAGAUGGGAAAGCCUGUGUAGGUGCAGGCUGGUGGAGGUCAUUGGUUGAGGAAUCCCUUGAAAGCCUUCCCAAGGACAUGUAACGUGCAAUAAAGUCUCUUUUCAUCACCCAGCACCUUUGCAGUCAGACAACGCUGCUUUGCCAGCCGAGGCUCGGGGUGAGCUCCUCUUCGCCUGUGUAGCCCAGUUUCCCAGUACAGGCUUGGCGUCUUCAGGGACUCACAUUCAGCACAGCUGAAAAAGACCGUUUGAAGACUGCUUAGAAUCACUAGCAAUUGGUAUCUGAAAUAAUUGCGUUUGUUAAAGUGUACCUGAAAAAAUAAAAAAAAAAUUCAAGUCCUCAUGAGAAGAUUUAUUUCUGCUGUAUGCCCUGAUGGUGAAGAUCUCUCCCUAACAAAGCUUUCAGUCAUCCAUAAAACCUGUGAAAUUCUAGGUUUUGAAUGUUACCAGCACACCUGGUGUUUUUCCCCAAAUGAAGAGUCUGUCUUCUGUGCAGAAUUUCUACUGGAAUGGAGAAAGGAAAGUUUGCAUAAGAACUUGUCACAAAGACAAAUGAGCUUAAGAGACCAAGAAGAGAGCCAUAUAAUUUGAAGUUCACAAAGAUAGAGAUCAACAAGCCAGCAGAAUUAUAGAUGAAGCUGUUCUGUGGUGUCUGAAAUGUGUCCAUGCAUUUCCUGCAUAACUGGAUCCUACCUCAUUAAGGAAACAUCCUGAAACUGGGAAAGUAGAAGAAUCCUUGCCAUGGUCCUUAAAGGGCAAAAGCAGACCUGUGGGCAGUAACAGCACUGUGUGCUGCUGGUCCCCAUUGAGUAACAAAGUGUGAUGCUACUUCAAAUGUCGUUCCCCAGUGCCACAAAAUGCUGGGGCUGCUCCACAGGAAUAGAGGUCCUGCAGAGCAAGCAAUGUCAGGACUGUUUUGAGAGAGAGUAUUGCACUCAGCUCCUGUACCCUAGCACGUGGACAAACUGUCUCGGUGUGGAUAUGAGUGGACUUCCUCCUACCAGUCAAAUAUUUUCCAUCAGUUUGGAGAAAAACACCUUACAAUUUCAAAUGGAAGCAUCCCAGUUAAAAAAGUGGGAGAAGUUGGAAGGUGAAACCUACUUUGUUCUUUUCAGAAUUUAGAGUGCUGUGGAAAGUUUUUAGAAAUUAAAAUUCCAUUUUUGGCCCUUUCUGACAGUAAACAGCUUUGAUCUUAAUAUCUGUGCAUUGAACAACUCUGCAGGCUUAGAGCAAAGUGGAUAUUUCUAAAAUCCUUCUGAGGAAUAACAAAAGGAUAAGUGAUCCCUAUACAUCCGAAUCAGAAAGCUACUGAAUAGCGAAUGUUAUGAAGAUUAUCUAUUUAUGCAUUCUCCAGAGCCUGAGCCUUCACACUGUGCUACGUUAUCUUGUGAGCCAAUUUGGGCAACAGGACCCCAAAGCAGAGCUACUUUCUCACCUGAACUGCCACUGAGAUGAUAUUCUAAUAAAAAAAAAGGCACAAGCCCAAGAGACUCUAUGGCGCUGCUAAUAUGAGACUUCAGUCGAGGGAAAACAGAGAGCAUAAUUUUUGCUUGAAGGCAAGAAUAUAUAAUGGCAUUUUCCCCCUUUAAUCUGAAACUUGGAGAGAAAAACAACAACAUUUUGAAAAAGAGAAUGGACAAAGAGGAGUGAGAAUAACUGGUUGCGGUGAGAUGCUUUCAUGACAAGGAUAAAUAGUAAGGUUGGUUUUGCAAAGACUCUUUGAAGGUGUACUCACUGCACAGCCGUCGUGGAGAGCUUUGAUGUAGGGAUUGUUGUCGUAAGACAUUUCCUCAUCGUUGGACCCCAGGAACCUCAGAGCUUUGUCAUAGCUGUCAGA
Myiozetetes cayanensis is the source of this 1969-nucleotide long non-coding RNA. RefSeq lists it as uncharacterized. The record is from RefSeq and is a predicted model, not a curated record. Lineage: Eukaryota; Metazoa; Chordata; Aves; Passeriformes; Tyrannidae. The transcript is spliced from 11 exons.